Prunus persica (peach) is the source of this 609-nucleotide long non-coding RNA. RefSeq lists it as uncharacterized. The transcript has 2 exons. The record is from RefSeq and is a predicted model, not a curated record. Lineage: Eukaryota; Viridiplantae; Streptophyta; Magnoliopsida; Rosales; Rosaceae.
ACUGUAUUCUCUCUCUCUCUCUCUAUAUAUAUAUAUAUAUGUUAGUAUUGAUUUUGUGAUUUGCAUUUCCUAGAGACAAAUUAGACUAAGUAUAUAUGAUAAAGUAGUUGUGAACUUGUGAUGGUGGCUGUCAAAAUUCCAAGAUAUGCUUUGAAGCCUUAUAUGUCAACCAACGAUCACUAAGUUUUUCUCCGGUGAGCUUGAAUCGAUCGUUACUAGUAUUAAAUUCAACAUAAGCAGAGCUGGAAGAACUCCGGCGAGCUUGAAGCAAUCGUGACCAAUAUUGCGUUCAACAUAAGAAAUGUCGAAAGAUCAUCCCACGAGAAGUUGAGUUACGAAGAAGUUGGUACGUUGUCUAGAGUGUCUAGGACAAGUUUGUAUACUUCUUAUAAUCAUCGUUCUAUAGUGAAUUUGCCUUGGACUAUCAGGUUCCGUGAAUUUUCCCCAAAUGUGGGGUUUUACCACGUAAAAUAAUUUGUGUUUUUAUCUAUUUUUACAUUCUAUACUAUAGAGGAUUGAUACAUAUCAAUCCUUUUGACGUGUUUUUAUAUAUCAAUGUAUGUAUCAAUCCUUUUGACGUGUUUUUAUAUAUUAAUGUAUUACUCUUAA